Molecule: unclassified non-coding RNA, 335 nt
Filed under: soil metagenome
Description: partial contains 5.8S ribosomal RNA, internal transcribed spacer 2, and large subunit ribosomal RNA
Rfam family: 5.8S ribosomal RNA (bases 1-120)
Source: RNAcentral
GAUGAAGAACGCAGUGAAAUGCGAUAAGUAAUGUGAAUUGCAGAAUUCAGUGAAUCAUCGAAUCUUUGAACGCACAUUGCGCCCGCCAGUAUUCUGGCGGGCAUGCCUGUUCGAGCGUCAUUUCAACCAUCAAGCCCCAGGCUUGUGUUGGAGCCCUGCGGCUGCCGCAGCCUCCCAAAACCAGUGGCGGGCUCGCUAUCACACCGAGUGCAGUAGUUUACUCUUCGCUCAGGGCGUGUGGCGGGUGCUAGCCGUAAAACCCCCAACUUCUCAAGGUUGACCUCGGAUCAGGUAGGAAUACCCGCUGAACUUAAGCAUAUCAAUUAAGCGGAGGA